This 567-nucleotide ribosomal RNA is filed under the name uncultured bacterium. RNAcentral's name for it is "partial 16S ribosomal RNA". It matches the Rfam family "Bacterial small subunit ribosomal RNA", at positions 355 to 937 of the family's 1533-position model. The record is from RNAcentral.
UGGGGAAUAUUGCACAAUGGGCGCAAGCCUGAUGCAGCAACGCCGCGUGAGGGACGACGGCCUUCGGGUUGUAAACCUCUUUUAGUAGGGAAGAAGCGAAAGUGACGGUACCUGCAGAAAAAGCACCGGCUAACUACGUGCCAGCAGCCGCGGUAAUACGUAGGGUGCGAGCGUUGUCCGGAAUUAUUGGGCGUAAAGAGCUCGUAGGCGGUCUGUCGCGUCUGCUGUGAAAACCCGAGGCUCAACCUCGGGCCUGCAGUGGGUACGGGCAGACUAGAGUGCGGUAGGGGAGAAUGGAAUUCCUGGUGUAGCGGUGGAAUGCGCAGAUAUCAGGAGGAACACCGAUGGCGAAGGCAGUUCUCUGGGCCGUAACUGACGCUGAGGAGCGAAAGCGUGGGGAGCGAACAGGAUUAGAUACCCUGGUAGUCCACGCCGUAAACGUUGGGCGCUAGAUGUGGGGACCAUUCCACGGUUUCCGUGUCGCAGCUAACGCAUUAAGCGCCCCGCCUGGGGAGUACGGCCGCAAGGCUAAAACUCAAAGGAAUUGACGGGGUCAUAGCUGUUCCU